GGGGACAAAUUAAUAUAUUAUUUAUAAUAAAAAAAUUUUUAAAAAUAUUUAUAAUUAUUUUAAUUGGGGGGUUAAAGUAAUUUAUAAAGAAAAAAUUAAUAAAUUUAUAGAGAAAUAUGUAUUGUAUAAGAAUUUUGAAAUAUAAUUGAAAAUAAAAUUUAUUUAAAAGUAAUUUUAAUUUAAUGUAUCUUGUGUAUCAGAGUUUAUUUAAUAAAAUUUUAAAAAAAAAUUCUCGAAAUUAAGAGAGAUAAUUAAUUAUUAAAGUUAUUGUAGCAUAAAUAUUUUAAAUAAUUAAUUGGAAAUGAAAUGUUAAUCGUUCUUAAGUAUAUCUAGUUUUUUUAGAAAAAAAUUUAAUUUUAAAUUUAUUAUAUAUAUAUAUAUAUAUAUAUAUAUAUUAAUUAAUUAUUAAAUUAAUAUAUUAAUAAAUUUUAUAUUUUAAGGGAUAAGCUUUAAUUUAAAUUUAUAUAAUUUAUUAUUUUUUUUUUAAAAUUUAUAUGAUUUAUAUUGUUAAUUAAUUUUAAUUUAUUAUAAAUAAUUUUAUUAAAAAUAAAAUUUAAUAUAAAAUUUAUAUUUUUAUAAAAAAAAAAAUGAAUUUUAAUUAUUUAAUUUUAGUUAUAAUGAUAAAAUUAGUAUAUAAAUAAUAAAAUUAUAUUAAAAUUUUUAUUAAUUAUUUUUAAGGAAUUCGGCAAAAAUUAUAUUCACUUGUUUAUCAAAAACAUGUCUUUUUGAAAAUAAUAUAAAGUCUAAUCUGCCCACUGAUUUAAUUAUUAAAGGGCUGCAGUAUUUUGACUGUACAAAGGUAGCAUAAUCAUUAGUCAUUUAAUUGAUGACUUGUAUGAAAGAUUGGAUGAAAUAUAAACUGUCUUAAUUAUAAAAUAUAGAAUUUAAUUUUUUAAUUAAAAAGUUAAAAUAAAUAAAAAAGACGAGAAGACCCUAUAGAGUUUUAUUAAAUAAUUAAUAUUAAUUAUUUUUAAAUUAAUAAAUUUAUAUUAAUUAUUUAAUUUUAUUGGGGUGAUGAAAAAAUUAAAAUAACUUUUUUUAAAAUUUUACAUAUAUAAGUGAAUAAAUGAUCCAAAUAUUUUGAUUAUAAGAAAAAAUUACCUUAGGGAUAACAGCGUAAUUUUUUUUUUUAGUUCAAAUAAGAAAAAAAGUUUGCGACCUCGAUGUUGGAUUAAGAUAAAGUUUAAAUGCAGAAGUUUAAAAAUUUUGAUCUGUUCGAUCAUUAAAAUCUUACAUGAUCUGAGUUCAAACCGGUGUGAGCCAGGUUGGUUUCUAUCUUUUUAAAAUUGAAAUAUUUUAGUACGAAAGGAUUAAAUAUUUAAAUUAAAUUUAUUAUUUGAAUAUUAUUAAUAAAA
Molecule: ribosomal RNA, 1355 nt
Filed under: Rusicada privata
Lineage: Eukaryota; Metazoa; Arthropoda; Insecta; Lepidoptera; Erebidae
Description: 16S ribosomal RNA
Source: RNAcentral